Molecule: long non-coding RNA, 2012 nt
Organism: Capra hircus (goat)
Lineage: Eukaryota; Metazoa; Chordata; Mammalia; Artiodactyla; Bovidae
Exons: 2
Source: RefSeq, a predicted model, not a curated record
GUUCACAAUACCUUCCAGGAAUGAGUUAAUUUAAAAAAAAAAAAAGUUAAUGCCUUACUUGGAAGGAAUCAUACAAAAACUUUCAGGGAUCAAACACAAGUAUGACACACAAGGAGAGUGUCUCAAAGAUUAUCCAGUGGCAAAUGAUGGUCAGAUGAUAAAAUACCUCAAAUAUGUUAAUGAUACUAUAAACUACUGCCCAGACAUCACUUUUCAAGUCUUUUCUCGUCAGUGCAAGAAAUUAAAAAGGUAUUAUGCUUCUGCUCCAUUUUUGAAAAAAAGAAAGUCUUGUCUCUACUUUCCUAAAGUCUCUCCCAACAGGACUUUUGGGGAGUAUAUUCUGAAAACCCUUUACCAAAGAACCUGGUUCUGACUUCUGUCAGCUCAGAAGUGUCUCACACUAGGGUCACCCAAAAACAGCUCAUUCUCUUGACUGCUUUAAUAAGCAUUGAGGGAAAUGACGGACACCAGGCAGGAUCCUCAGGGCCAUGCAGCCCCUAGUGUCUCUCCCAACUGACCCCCCACGGGCCUCUCCUCAGCUGUCAUUCACUUUCAUGCCUCAUUGCUUAUGAAUUGGCAUUUGAACUCCUAGUCUCCUCUACACUGUGAAAGCAGGAACUGGCCUUUCAGGUGCAGAACCUGAUCUAUCCAGUAGGAGAUGCGAGCCAUUUGGUAGACAGCAGGAGUCCCGUCUGGAUAGCCCAGGGUUCUAGUCACUGCAGCCUUCCAACAUUUCAUUUUGCCAAUUGGGUGCUCUGUGGCUUAAUCUGAGGUCUCCUCAGCAUGAUAUAAAAGCCCAGACCUGCGGGGCUGCCUGGGCAGUCACGAUUAAUUGUACCAGGCACAACUUGGACAAGAAGGGGCUUGCCCUGGAACCCGCGUGGGGAUCGUUUCUCUUUCCACUGUUUUGCACUGUUUUCCACAGUUUUGCACUCUGCUGGCAACUAGCACUAGCUUCACUACCUCCAGUGGCUGUUUAUGGGGUAAAGUGGAGUUGUUACUCACUGAAAGCCAGCAAGAGCCUAGUCCCUCAAAGUCUAGAGCAGGCCGUCUGUGCCAAAUCCAAGAGUUUAUAGUUCUACUUGCAAAUGUUUAUGCCUGCCCACAGUCAUCCAGCAACGUAGGGAGACAGCAGAAGACAAAGAUGAAAACCCUCUUCAGACUCCUCUCCUCCGGAGCCGAGACCGUGGUUGCCUCUUUCAGGAUUUCUGUCUCCCACAGUCAAUUUACACCUCUUAUCUCAUCAUGCUCUCCAGACGGAAGGCUGAAUUGACCGCUUCUGCCAGGGGCCAUGGCAAUGGUGUUAAAACUCAACCACAGAUCAAAGCUCUCCAGGCAAGGGGCUGAGAAAUUCAGCCGGAGCCGCAGAAGCGGUGACUCGGUGGAGCUGGAUCCCCUAAGCUUGGCUGGGAAAGCUGAUUACCAUCUCCAUAACGCCACGGUCCCCGGAGGGGCGUGCGGUUCCUUCCACCAGCCCCGAUCCCGGCAGUCCUGGACCUCAGCUCGGCAGAUGCCCCCCACCCAGCCGCCGGGACUUUAGCUCCGGGGAUGCCCCCCACCCUCGCUGGGCGCCCGGGUGGGACCUGGUGGGAAAAACGGCGGUGCGCUAGCCCCAGGCGAAGGACGGGGGCAGCCAGUUAAUCACAGCUCGUCUCGCCUCCAUUAACUUCUGUUGAUAUUAAAAAGAAAUCAAUCAGUGAAAAUGGAGCCUUGGCCGUGAAUAUUUCUUUUUCUCCAGUGGAAAAGCAAAGAGCGAGGCGGCGGCGGAGGGGAGGCGGAACUCGCCGGCGACUGCAGAGGAUUCUCCCAGGCCGAAGACCGCAGCGGAGACUUAACUUUCUGGCAAUGGGCAGUGCUGAGGAAAUGCCGCAGGCUUCUCCCUGGGGGUGUCCUUAGUGUGGAGGAGGAGGGGACAAAGCUAGAGGAGUUGGAGGCGGCCCACUUAAACCGGGCUGGAGCUUGGGUUUUGCUUUCUCUGGGAAUAUUUUUGCCUAAUAGAAUGUUUAUGGAUC